Molecule: ribosomal RNA, 286 nt
Filed under: uncultured Prevotella sp.
Lineage: Bacteria; Pseudomonadati; Bacteroidota; Bacteroidia; Bacteroidales; Prevotellaceae
Description: partial 16S ribosomal RNA
Rfam family: Bacterial small subunit ribosomal RNA
Source: RNAcentral
UGAGGAAUAUUGGGUCAAUGGGCGAGAGCCUGAACCAGCCAAGUAGCGUGCAGGAUGACGGCCCUAUGGGUUGUAAACUGCUUUUAUAAGGGAAUAAAGUGGGUCACGUGUGACUUUUUGCAUGUACCUUAUGAAUAAGGACCGGCUAAUUCCGUGCCAGCAGCCGCGGUAAUACGGAAGGUCCGGGCGUUAUCCGGAUUUAUUGGGUUUAAAGGGAGCGUAGGCCGGAGAUUAAGCGUGUUGUGAAAUGUAGGCGCUCAACGCCUGCACUGCAGCGCGAACUGAA